GUACAAAGUUACAGAACAGAAAAACACUUAGUUGCAAUCUACAGUGGGCUCCUCAGCAAUGGGAGUCGAGGUUAUCUGGCCCCUUUUGUUGUAGAGUCCUUCUUUUUGGUAUGCGGGACAAGCACCGUACGAAGCUGGCACCACUGGCUACUGUUUCCUUUGCUAUAACCAGCAUGGGACCUGGAACAUGUGCCCCACAGAUCUGAGGACUGAUGGAGCUAACUGAUGACUGGUGUCUGGGAAGGCAGCAUGUUUGCCACCCUGUUCUCACUUCUGAAGGAGCUGAAAGAUUUAGUUUCCAAAGCCUCUGGCCAGAUCACACUCCCCCUCCCCCCAAGUGAAUGCCUGGGAAUCAUCUCUUUCUCACAGACAGGAAGCCGUUAUCUCACCAUGAAGACUUGGCAGCAAAGACUGGUAAAGAGGAAAGAACAAACUGGGAGUCAGUUUUCCAUUUGAUAAAUGUAUUCGCU
RNAcentral lists this long non-coding RNA (470 nucleotides) under Pan troglodytes (chimpanzee). RNAcentral's name for it is "long non-coding RNA NONPTRT018235". The record is from RNAcentral. Lineage: Eukaryota; Metazoa; Chordata; Mammalia; Primates; Hominidae.